CAGCAGUAGCCACGGGAAUACGUAGGUGGCAAGCGUUGUCCGGAAUUAUUGGGCGUAAAGGGCUCGCAGGCGGUUUCUUAAGUCUGAUGUGAAAGUCCCCGGCUCAACCGGGGAGGGUCAUUGGAAACUGGGAAACUUGAGUGCAGAAGAGGAGAGUGGAACUCCACGUGUAGCGGUGAAAUGCGUAGAGAUGUGGAGGAACACCAGUGGCGAAGGCGACUCUCUGGUCUGUAACUGACGCUGAGGAGCGAAAGCGUGGGGAGCGAACAGGAUUAGAUACCCCCGUAGUCCCUGUCUCUUAUAA
Molecule: ribosomal RNA, 304 nt
Filed under: uncultured bacterium
Lineage: Bacteria
Description: partial 16S ribosomal RNA
Rfam family: Bacterial small subunit ribosomal RNA
Source: RNAcentral